AACGAACGCUGGCGGCAGGCUUAACACAUGCAAGUCGAACGCCCACUUCGGUGGGAGUGGCAGACGGGUGAGUAACGCGUGGGAAUAUACCUUUUAGUACGGAACAACAGUUAGAAAUGACUGCUAAUACCGUAUGUGCCCUUCGGGGGAAAGAUUUAUCGCUAAAAGAUUAGCCCGCGUUGGAUUAGCUAGUUGGUAAGGUAAUGGCUUACCAAGGCGACGAUCCAUAGCUGGUCUGAGAGGAUGAUCAGCCACACUGGGACUGAGACACGGCCCAGACUCCUACGGGAGGCAGCAGUGGGGAAUAUUGGACAAUGGGGGAAACCCUGAUCCAGCCAUGCCGCGUGAGUGAUGAAGGCCUUAGGGUUGUAAAGCUCUUUCGCUAGGGAAGAUAAUGACUGUACCUAGUAAAGAAGCCCCGGCUAACUUCG
This 431-nucleotide ribosomal RNA is filed under the name uncultured Alphaproteobacteria bacterium. RNAcentral's name for it is "bacterial SSU rRNA". It matches the Rfam family "Bacterial small subunit ribosomal RNA", at positions 29 to 505 of the family's 1533-position model. The record is from RNAcentral. Lineage: Bacteria; Pseudomonadati; Pseudomonadota; Alphaproteobacteria.